Phyllostomus discolor (pale spear-nosed bat) is the source of this 126-nucleotide small nucleolar RNA. Lineage: Eukaryota; Metazoa; Chordata; Mammalia; Chiroptera; Phyllostomidae. The record is from RefSeq and is a predicted model, not a curated record.
GAGCACUGUUCGUGACCCGUCAGCCUGCUGUGGCUGACGGGUUCCAUUCCAGUGCCAGAGCAAUUCCAGUGACACAUGACUGGGCGCCUGGCCGAUGGCUCUCAGUUUCAGAUCUUGGAGACAAGC